Molecule: long non-coding RNA, 1264 nt
Organism: Glycine soja
Lineage: Eukaryota; Viridiplantae; Streptophyta; Magnoliopsida; Fabales; Fabaceae
Exons: 2
Source: RefSeq, a predicted model, not a curated record
GCAGCCACUGGUGAUUCUCUCUAGGGUUUUCAUUCCCCCUUUUUAGCCACCUUGCAUAAUUUUUGUAGUUACAUAAAAUUUUCAUAUUUGUGUGUGUGUGUGUGUUUACUUGUUGAUGAUGAUGAGGGCUGAGGCAUAUAGGGGAGAGCAGUGUUUAACUAUGGCUCUGAAAAACCUGUAGGUGCUCUACAGGGUGCCCUGCCAUUCAAGCCCUUCACAAAAAUAUAUGGCAUCAUAGUACGGAUUUUGUGCUUUGUGGGAGGUUUUUGGAUUUGAGAUUUUGGUCCUGGGAAUGGCCUUGCCUUCCUUUGCCCAAUUUCACUCUUCCUUUCUUUCCCACUACUUUUCUCCACAAAUCCGCCUCCAAACGCCAUUACAAUUACCAUACAACCCCCAACGAUUUUAUUUUUGAGUUAAACCCUAAGUUAUUUAUUGGUAUUAAGUGAAUUUUAAAAAUGUGUUUCUUUUGUUAAAUUUUCUAAUGAAGUGUAAGGAUAUUCUGCUGAUUAUCUUAAAAUUUAUCUGGACAAUGACUUAAACCAAAGGGUAUCUGGGUAGCUUUGACAAUAGAUACCCUGUGACUCCUCAAAAAUCAAAAUCACUCUCCUCAAAAAUCAAAAUCAGUCUAUUUGGACCAUAUGUUUGCCAAUGUUAGUGCUUGAGGUGAAAUUUUGAUCGUUAACUCAGAUGCUAUUACUUCAAGUUGGCUUUUGAAACAUGAUACUUAAUUUUUUAAAAUAGGAAAAUAAAAAUUGUGAUGCCCAAUUGAUGGAAUGUGCUUCAAGUUGGCUUUUGAAACAUGAUACUUAAUUUUUUUAAAUAGGAAAAUAAAAAUUGUGAUGCCCAAUUGAUGGGAUGUGCUUCAUGGCAUAGCUUUCACAAGUACUGUUAAUUUGGAGAGGCUCAGAUUUAUUGGGAUUUCUCAUGUUGAUCCAAUCAUCUACCCUGAAAUUCCAUUCACCAAAUUUGCCUGAAAAUUCAAGAAUUUCACCACUAGGUAAUCUCCACUCAAGAAUGCAAGAAGGAAGCUAGCAUAAACAUCAUCAUCUUCUCAGCAAGAGGUAGCCCUGCACAGAUUCUUCUUCCGGAACCAAAAGGAAUAUACUCAAAUUUGUUGACCCCCGAGUAGUCCAACUUGCCAGCAUCACUCAGAAACCUCUCCGGUCGAAAUUCCAAUGCAUCUUUCCAAAUGUCAGGGUCCCUGUGUAUAGUCCACACAUUUAAUAUUACUUGUGCACCCUUUGGAAUGGUGUAUCCACCAACA